GACGAACGCUGGCGGCGUGCUUAACACAUGCAAGUCGAGCGGUAAGGCCCUUUUGGGGGUACACGAGCGGCGAACGGGUGAGUAACACGUGGGUGACCUGCCCUCAGCUCUGGGAUAAGCCUGGGAAACUGGGUCUAAUACUGGAUAUGACCUUUCCUCGCAUGGGGGUUGGGUGGAAAGUUUUUCGGCUGGGGAUGGGCCCGCGGCCUAUCAGCUUGUUGGUGGGGUGAUGGCCUACCAAGGCGACGACGGGUAGCCGGCCUGAGAGGGCGACCGGCCACACUGGGACUGAGACACGGCCCAGACUCCUACGGGAGGCAGCAGUGGGGAAUAUUGCGCAAUGGGCGGAAGCCUGACGCAGCGACGCCGC
RNAcentral lists this ribosomal RNA (370 nucleotides) under uncultured bacterium. RNAcentral's name for it is "bacterial SSU rRNA". It matches the Rfam family "Bacterial small subunit ribosomal RNA", at positions 28 to 400 of the family's 1533-position model. The record is from RNAcentral.